This 490-nucleotide ribosomal RNA is filed under the name Gemella morbillorum. Its description in RNAcentral is "bacterial SSU rRNA". It matches the Rfam family "Bacterial small subunit ribosomal RNA", at positions 28 to 499 of the family's 1533-position model. Lineage: Bacteria; Bacillati; Bacillota; Bacilli; Caryophanales; Gemellaceae. The record is from RNAcentral.
GACGAACGCUGCGGCGUGCCUAAUACAUGCAAGUCGAGCGAAGUUUUUCUGGUGCUUGCACUAGAAAAACUUAGCGGCGAACGGGUGAGUAACACGUAAAGAACCUGCCUCAUAGACUGGGACAACUAUUGGAAACGAUAGCUAAUACCGGGUAACAGUAUUUCUCGCAUGAGAGAUAUUUAAAAGUUGGUUAUGCUAACACUAUGAGAUGGCUUUGCGGUGCAUUAGCUAGUUGGUGGGGUAAAGGCCCACCAAGGCGACGAUGCAUAGCCGACCUGAGAGGGUGAUCGGCCACACUGGGACUGAGACACGGCCCAGACUCCUACGGGAGGCAGCAGUAGGGAAUCUUCCGCAAUGGGCGAAAGCCUGACGGAGCAACGCCGCGUGAGUGAAGAAGGAUUUCGGUUCGUAAAGCUCUGUUGCUAGGGAAGAAUGGAUAUGUAGUAACUAUACAUAUAAGAGACGGUACCUAACCAGAAAGCCACGGCUA